This 443-nucleotide ribosomal RNA is filed under the name uncultured Prevotella sp. Its description in RNAcentral is "bacterial SSU rRNA". It matches the Rfam family "Bacterial small subunit ribosomal RNA", at positions 355 to 794 of the family's 1533-position model. The record is from RNAcentral. Lineage: Bacteria; Pseudomonadati; Bacteroidota; Bacteroidia; Bacteroidales; Prevotellaceae.
UGAGGAAUAUUGGUCAAUGGGCGGAAGCCUGAACCAGCCAAGUAGCGUGAGGGAUGACUGCCCUAUGGGUUGUAAACCUCUUUUAUAAGGGAAUAAAAUACGGGACGUGUCCUGUUUUGCAUGUACCUUAUGAAUAAGGACCGGCUAAUUCCGUGCCAGCAGCCGCGGUAAUACGGAAGGUCCGGGCGUUAUCCGGAUUUAUUGGGUUUAAAGGGAGCGCAGACGGUCUUAUAAGCGUGACGUGAAAUGCAGCGGCUCAACCGUAUGAUGUGCGUCGCGAACUGUGAGACUUGAGUGUAUUCGAUGUCAGCGGAAUUUGUGGUGUAGCGGUGAAAUGCAUAGAUAUCACGCAGAACUCCGAUCGCGAAGGCAGCUUGCCAAGCCAUAACUGACACUGAAGCACGAAAGUGUGGGUAUCAAACAGGAUUAGAUACCCUGGUAGU